This 1268-nucleotide ribosomal RNA is filed under the name Arthrobacter sp. RNAcentral's name for it is "bacterial SSU rRNA". It matches the Rfam family "Bacterial small subunit ribosomal RNA", at positions 85 to 1366 of the family's 1533-position model. Lineage: Bacteria; Bacillati; Actinomycetota; Actinomycetes; Micrococcales; Micrococcaceae. The record is from RNAcentral.
CCGGGGAUUAGUGGCGAACGGGUGAGUAACACGUGAGUAACCUGCCCUUGACUCUGGGAUAAGCCUGGGAAACCGGGUCUAAUACCGGAUAUGACUUCCUGCCGCAUGGUGGGGGGUGGAAAGAUUUUUUGGUUUUGGAUGGACUCGCGGCCUAUCAGCUUGUUGGUGGGGUAAUGGCCUACCAAGGCGACGACGGGUAGCCGGCCUGAGAGGGUGACCGGCCACACUGGGACUGAGACACGGCCCAGACUCCUACGGGAGGCAGCAGUGGGGAAUAUUGCACAAUGGGCGCAAGCCUGAUGCAGCGACGCCGCGUGAGGGAUGACGGCCUUCGGGUUGUAAACCUCUUUCAGCAGGGAAGAAGCGGAAGUGACGGUACCUGCAGAAGAAGCGCCGGCUAACUACGUGCCAGCAGCCGCGGUAAUACGUAGGGCGCAAGCGUUGUCCGGAAUUAUUGGGCGUAAAGAGCUCGUAGGCGGUUUGUCGCGUCUGCUGUGAAAGCCCGGGGCUCAACCCCGGGUCUGCAGUGGGUACGGGCAGACUGGAGUGCAGUAGGGGAGACUGGAAUUCCUGGUGUAGCGGUGAAAUGCGCAGAUAUCAGGAGGAACACCGAUGGCGAAGGCAGGUCUCUGGGCUGUAACUGACGCUGAGGAGCGAAAGCAUGGGGAGCGAACAGGAUUAGAUACCCUGGUAGUCCAUGCCGUAAACGUUGGGCACUAGGUGUGGGGGACAUUCCACGUUUUCCGCGCCGUAGCUAACGCAUUAAGUGCCCCGCCUGGGGAGUACGGCCGCAAGGCUAAAACUCAAAGGAAUUGACGGGGGCCCGCACAAGCGGCGGAGCAUGCGGAUUAAUUCGAUGCAACGCGAAGAACCUUACCAAGGCUUGACAUGGGCCGGAUCGCCGCAAAAAUGCGGUUUCCCUUCGGGGCCGGUUCACAGGUGGUGCAUGGUUGUCGUCAGCUCGUGUCGUGAGAUGUUGGGUUAAGUCCCGCAACGAGCGCAACCCUCGUUCUAUGUUGCCAGCGGUUCGGCCGGGGACUCAUAGGAGACUGCCGGGGUCAACUCGGAGGAAGGUGGGGACGACGUCAAAUCAUCAUGCCCCUUAUGUCUUGGGCUUCACGCAUGCUACAAUGGCCGGUACAAAGGGUUGCGAUACUGUGAGGUGGAGCUAAUCCCAAAAAGCCGGUCUCAGUUCGGAUUGAGGUCUGCAACUCGACCUCAUGAAGUCGGAGUCGCUAGUAAUCGCAGAUCAGCAACGCUGCGGUGAA